UACCCUCAGCCUGUUUUAUUUAUUUUUUUUAAUUUUGGGACAGGGUUUCUAUAAAUUGCUUAGGGCCUCAUUAAGUUGCUGAGGUUGGCUUUGAACUUGUGCUCCUCCUGCCUCAGACUCCCAAGCCACUGAGAUUAUAGGUAUGUACCACCACGCCUAGCUGCUCCUGCCCUUUAGUAGCACCUUUAGGGUGGGCCUAGCUCAGCUGCAGCUAUCCUUCAUGAAAGCUAGUAUCACUCUGACCCUGGGGAAUCUCAUGUGCUCUGCCUUAUAAUGCUCUCCUCUCACGUGACCAGCCUCCUUCUACUUUCUGCCUGCUUUGUUGUGUGGUUCUUCUCAACUCUAGUCUGCAAUUUUCUGGUUCCUCAACCCUCUUAGGACUCCUGGUCACCCCUCAGUCACAGUCCCUGUGCAUCAUGACUCCUGCUUUUUGGAAACUUUCUCUGCCUGGGGAAGCUCCCUCCUUGCUUUGGUAUGUCACAGCCUCACAUUGCAGCCAAAAAACAUGCAGUCUCACCCUCUCCAGCUAUUCUCAUGGCUACCUGUAUCUCUAAUUUGUGUUUCCCAACACCCAACUCCAGAAAAUCUGGAGUUUCUAUGCCAGGCCAUGUGGUGGUAGCUGUUGGUCAAUUGGGCUGUGGAUUGGCUGCCCUAGGGCAUGGCUUCUGCUGUGAUUGACAAGUUUCUUCUCCAAGGUUAUCCUGGGAUUUCUGGCUAUCUUGUACUUUCAGCAAAACAUCGCCUUUCCCUCUGCCUUGUAGGGCAGCUUGUUUAUUGCCCUAUUCAUGCACCUUCAUUCAGAGAACAAUUCAAUCUCUCCCCUCUAGACAAGAGAACAUGUAAAGACUCUACACUAUAGUUUUCUUGUCUAGGUUGCCAUUGUGGGGCACAUGGUGGGUCUGUUUUUGCCUCUCUUUCAAUGCGUAGAGGUCAGGCUUGCUCAGCCAAGCUUGACCAUGCUCAGGGGCCCAAGAGCCCAUACAUGAAGAUAUAUCAACAGAAGGGCUCCCUCUAGAGUCUGGCAGGGGAGUUCUCUUGGACAUUAGCCACAUUCACACCCUAUAAUUCAGAAUCCUAAAAUGGGUAGAUCAGGGACCCAUUUUUCUACAGAGCUCUUGUGGCACAGAUCUUUCAGGGCACAUGUUUGACUCAAUUCCCAGUCCUUAAGGCCAACCACCACUACCACCACAGCAAUACCACUUGACUGCGAUUGAUUAGUCCCAUUGGCAUAUUGCUAUUCUAAGCCUGGUUGAUUGCUAACAACGAAUGUGGAUGCUACAGAGUAG
RNAcentral lists this long non-coding RNA (1286 nucleotides) under Marmota monax (woodchuck). The record is from RNAcentral. Lineage: Eukaryota; Metazoa; Chordata; Mammalia; Rodentia; Sciuridae.